RNAcentral lists this long non-coding RNA (2709 nucleotides) under Nicotiana benthamiana. RNAcentral describes it as "long non-coding RNA (NBEN_LNC038026)". Lineage: Eukaryota; Viridiplantae; Streptophyta; Magnoliopsida; Solanales; Solanaceae. The record is from RNAcentral.
CCAACUUUUGGACAAUCUUGUUGCAACUAUUAGCUGUGUACGGGACAUAGGAUUUCACUCUCAUUGCACGGAGAGAGCUUCGGGUAUUAGAAAGAGUUGAGAGGAUUCUUACAUUAUUGCAUAUAAUGUACAACCUAAUGACCAGAUAUCAGUUCUUUCGUCAAUAUCACAUUGGCUUGGGCAAUCCCAUAAUUCAGGUGCUCGGAAGGGUGCGGAAACAUGCUCAGAUGCCCAUUCCUACAUUAUCAGCACCACAAAAGCCAUCACGUUAAGGAAAAUGCAACAGAAUGAGUUAAGGUAUAAUGUGUAAGAAAUGGGUGUCAACCAAGAACACAACAUGAAUUAACUACUACUUGAAAUUUGCAUAUAAAGGUAGCAAUAUUGGUGAAAACAUUCAGCCCAAACUUGUUCAAAAGAAGGAACCUAUUAGAAAUUUACAGGCAUAUAAACAGCAGAAAAUAUGUAUAAAUUUAAAAAACGAAAUGAAAGUACCUGCAGCUGCAAGGCCUCUGAACGAGAGCGGAUUUGCCUUCUUGCAGGACGUGUACUUCCAAAAUCCAUUAAUACUGCAAGAGGCGGCUGUCCUUUCCUAUGAGUUAAAAGGAUAUUACCAGGUUUGACAUCAUUAUGUGCAUAAGGAGGAUCAAAGCUAUGCAUAUGCUUGAGUCCUGCACAAAGCUGCAUAAUAAUGUUUCUUUAAAUACAUUCUAGGCUCCAAAAUUGAUGAUGUCCUCCUCUUAUAUUCUCACAAAUAAAAUGCACAUUUGCAAAAAUACAUCCUUAGUUCACCUGACGAAAUAUUUGAAGAACAUCCGAAGUGGAAAAGAAUUCUUUCUUAGCUUUCAUGGCUGUGGCAUUAUCCAGUAAUGUCCCAUCCAAAUGUACCGGGAACAACAAGUAAGCUUCAUGCUUCCAGGACUGAUCUGGCACAGCCUAUCCAACAGAGAAAGAUAUUUAUAUAGAAUAUAAUGAAAAUUGAACAUGUAGUAGAGGAGAGGUUACAAGGAAUACACAUAUCAGCAGGCAUAUAGUGUAGAGUACAGCUAUAAAGAGCUAGGUUCUCAAAGAAAAGUACUACAGAGAAAACUUGUUUGACACUCCACAUGAUCGUUAGAAUUUUGUAUUAUUUAGAAUUCAACCAUCAUUUUAAGACUGAAGAGUGAGCAGUACAUCUUUAGGGAAUUCAGCUCCUCGGGGUACAUCUAAGAGUUCCUGGAACGGCAUAAGCUAAUCUAUCAUGGAAGAUACUGCAAACUCAAUUUAAUUUUUCCACCACCUAAUUGUGCAAAGCCUUCUUCUUGUUCACACAAAGCCUUGACAUGGACAUCAGUGUAUUACUAACAAAAGAGAUCAGAAUACAGAGUUGGUUUCUUUUUUUUUUUUUUUNNNNNNNNNNNNNNNNNNNNNNNNNNNNNNNNNNNNNNNNNNNNNNNNNNNNNNNNNNNNNNNNNNNNNNNNNNNNNNNNNNNNNNNNNNNNNNNNNGGGUUGAGAAUGGGGCGCAAAGUGCCUGCAAAAAUUACCUUGACUGCGAUGAUAGCAUGAUCAAGGAGAGGAAGCAGAUUGCGAUGAGUAAAUAGAGAUGAAACACGAAUCUCCUCUUUCACCAACUCCAACUGUUCAGUGUUCUGAAUAAGAACCUUCUUCAUAGCAUAAGUUCCAUCAUCUGCACAUUAAGAGAGUUUUUCAAUUGUUUUGUUACAGAAUAAAAGAACAUGGAUACAAUAACUGCACACCAAGGUUCAAAGACAAAGCUUAAUCUUUGCACUUCCCUUUCCAAAGAGAAAGAUUUCAUGAAUCAGAGUAAACUGGGCCAAUAACCACUGAAGUCUGACCUACUAACUGCUAAAAGGAGUUGAAGAACUACUUCUAGUGAAAAUAUCAUUAGGAAAGAAAGCCAAUUAGAGAAAGAAAAAGAAAGAAUAAGAAACCCAAAAGCUCCUAAUGUUCAUUCCAGAUGCUUAAAAACAUGUAUAAUAGGCUCGUCUACAUAUUACCCUCCCCAGACCCCACCUGGUGGGAAUAUACUGGGUAGUUGUUGUUUGUUGUUGUUUACUUCUUCUCUGAAUGGAAAAGUUGGGGUAGAGAGGAAUAUCUACAAAACCUACAGAAUUUAGGUCAGGUCAAUGCAGCAAUCAAUAUAACUACACGUACACAGGGAAGAAGCACAUUUUGGAGUAAAAUACGCCUCUAGUAAAUAGAGAAUUUGAGCAAUAUUUGCCAAACCACUCUAACAUCAUUUUCUAAAGAUAUCUAAACCACACAAACAUCAGUGAAACAAAAAACAAAAAUCCAAAUUUGAAGAUGAUCAACCUCUAUAUAUAUAUAUAUAUAUAGUAGGUGCAACAAAAUAGAAUAGUUGAGCCAACUUUUGGACAAUCUUGUUGCAACUAUUAGCUGUGUACGGGACAUAGGAUUUCACUCUCAUUGCACGGAGAGAGCUUCGGGUAUUAGAAAGAGUUGAGAGGAUUCUUACAUUAUUGCAUAUAAUGUACAACCUAAUGACCAGAUAUCAGUUCUUUCGUCAAUAUCACAUUGGCUUGGGCAAUCCCAUAAUUCAGGUGCUCGGAAGGGUGCGGAAACAUGCUCAGAUGCCCAUUCCUACAUUAUCAGCACCACAAAAGACAGCACAUUAAGGAAAAUGCAACAGGAUGAGUUAAGGUGUACUAUGUAAGAAAUGGGAAUCAACCAAGAACACAAUAUGAAUUAAC